UCUGAAGAAAAAAAAAACAGCGGUAAACCCCCCUCUCCUCUUUCUCUCUCCCUCAACCCAUCUCUAUCUCCCCCUAUCUCUCUCUAACCGUCGCUCUCUCUACCCGAUGCUCUCCUCUCUCUUUCUCUCUCCCUCAAGCUAUCUCUAUCUCCCCUAUCUCUAUCUCCCCUAUCUUUCUCUCCCUUUCUUUCACUACCUGUCGCUCUCUCUACCCGACGCUCUCUCUCCCUUUCGCUCUUUCUUUCGCUCUAGCUCUCGCUCUCCCCAUUGCUCUCUCUCUCUCUAACUCUCGCUCUCUCUAUCUCUAUCUCUCGCUGCCUGGCUCUCGGGCUUUGUCUCUACUCCUCACGCCGUCCCUCUCUUCACCCCAA
RNAcentral lists this long non-coding RNA (371 nucleotides) under Ananas comosus (pineapple). RNAcentral's name for it is "long non-coding RNA (ACOM_LNC016737)". Lineage: Eukaryota; Viridiplantae; Streptophyta; Magnoliopsida; Poales; Bromeliaceae. The record is from RNAcentral.